GCACUGUUUUGUACUAGUGAUGUGCAUUCCAAAUAGAAAUUGAAGUGCAACGGAACAAAAUGGAGUAAAGCAAGUUAGUUCUCUCAAAAUAGACCCAGGGGACCAAGUUGAUUGCACCAAAACAGUCUCAGUGAAAUUAGUUUUUAUUGUGCAUGUACUUGAUGUACAUACGUGAUCUUCUUGUGUUGACCCCCAAGAGAAAAA
Molecule: long non-coding RNA, 204 nt
Organism: Syngnathus acus (greater pipefish)
Lineage: Eukaryota; Metazoa; Chordata; Actinopteri; Syngnathiformes; Syngnathidae
Exons: 3
Source: RefSeq, a predicted model, not a curated record